AUACGUGUAGGGUGGAGACGCACAACCAUCGGACUGUGUAGCACAAGGCUUGUUUUAGACGCUUCAUCUCGUCCGCUACCGAUGGUCGAUUCCUCCUCCUGACAAAGCUUUUGCUGAAAAGGGUGUCUUAUGCCACCACAGCAAGCAGGAAACGUCGUCGCGACCCUCCGCCCCCUCUGGGCGAGGACCUCGCUAGACACUGGAGUGGCCAACCACUCCUGACGCGCCCUGACACCGACCGUGAGAAGUCGUGUGUGCCGAACGCCGUUUCCGGCAGCCCGGAAACCGA
This is a non-coding RNA of Pseudomonas syringae pv. actinidiae ICMP 19096, 289 nucleotides long. NCBI's taxonomy places the organism in Bacteria, Pseudomonadati, Pseudomonadota, Gammaproteobacteria, Pseudomonadales, Pseudomonadaceae. The record is from Rfam.